This 83-nucleotide transfer RNA is filed under the name Deltaproteobacteria bacterium. RNAcentral's name for it is "tRNA-Leu". It matches the Rfam family "tRNA". From Rfam's summary of the family: Transfer RNA (tRNA) molecules are approximately 80 nucleotides in length. Their secondary structure includes four short double-helical elements and three loops (D, anti-codon, and T loops). Lineage: Bacteria; Pseudomonadati; Myxococcota; Myxococcia. The record is from RNAcentral.
GCGAGGGUGGCGGAAUUGGCAGACGCGCUGGAUUUAGGUUCCAGUGUCCAACGGACGUGCAGGUUCGAGUCCUGUCCCUCGCA